RNAcentral lists this ribosomal RNA (2962 nucleotides) under Triticum aestivum (bread wheat). RNAcentral describes it as "partial small subunit ribosomal RNA". Lineage: Eukaryota; Viridiplantae; Streptophyta; Magnoliopsida; Poales; Poaceae. The record is from RNAcentral.
GUGAGUGAAUCGCUCCCGGCUCCCCACACUUCCUUCUUCUUGUUGUCCACUUGCCGGUCGUCUAAUGUAUGUGGUAGAGUAAGACAAGAACCUCGUUGUACAGCUCAGGAGUCCUUUAGGUCGAGGUCUAGUCUCCAUUUGAAGGAGGCGAACGCAAGGAGUUCGCACUAAUGAGGGAGGUAGGUAUAUAUAUCCCGGAUAUGUAAAAGGCUCCAUCGGAAACUGGUUACUAUUAUAAUAAUCAUAUACUCUAUAUACUAUGUUUUUAAUAUAGUAAUCUUUGAGGAAAGUGUAUGCUUAAGCUACCAUACGAAACACAUUGUACGUACAGUAUAUAAUAGCACGAUUGGGUAACAGUUUCCAAUAGAGUUUUUUGCAUAAUCCGGGAUAUAUACACCUACCUCCCUCAUACAUUAAAAUACACCAAAGCUAGUCAAGGCCACCAACAAAAGAACUACAAAUAUAGUCACCGACGCGUGCAAGGUUCAAGAGCGUCGACUAGUAAAAAAAAGACUUCUUUUACCUGGCCGUCUCUACCCAGCAGUACCUUCAGGUCGUACCGGACAAGAACGCGACCAGCACCCGCGCCGGGAGUUGAUCGAAUCGAAUCGAUCGUUGCGUUAAAGUGUCAUUGAAUGGUUGAUUGUCGUCCGUAGCUCUACAUUAAAGAAGUGGAAGAAGUUUUAUAGGCGCCGGAUUUAUAAAGGCGGUUCUCUUUUUUAGCUUUUUCCUUGAUGAAGUGAGUAACGUAGACGUGUAGUACGUACAUCGAAAGUAUAUAAACUAACCUCUGUUCGUUUAGUAACCUCUUACCUUGAUUUAUGUCUCGUGGGUAUGGUAUGGCCGGUAGAAUAGAAGUACACUAACCUAAGUGUUCAACAAAGAAUAUUUAGUCAUCAACCUUGAACCUUACCUUCGUUUCGUCUUUGUGACGUCGGGACCGGAUGUUAGUCAUAAGUCAAAGUCAAAGAAGACGUUUUUAUUUGACCCGAAAUGACUACGUGAACGAUUUUUUAGGCCGGUACCGCUCUUGUCACCCCGUGGCUUACGGCGGCUCGCAGUUGCUGCCGGCCCCUGCCCUUGUGCGCCGCAGUCCACCACCGACUACCACGACGACCUGUACGAGCACCACGAGACGCCCGUCUGGCACCCGUGGGACGACCCGGCGAUGAUGAUGUUGAGGCCGCCGUUGUCGUUCACCUACCGGUGCGAGUGCUAUAGGCCGCCGAGCGGGGACGACCGGUAGGAGGACGAGGAGUGCGGCGCGCUGGGGCGGCCGCUCGGGGCCGGCCGCCGCCGGUUCUACCACGGGUAGAUGGAGCCCGAGCCGUGGGAGUAGCCGAAGCUGUUGGAGUACAUGAGCAUGCGCGACGUCAUGGACGGCCACAGGUGGAAGCGCGACCACCGGCGGUGCGUCGAGCGGAAGUUGAGGCAGUGGAGGGCGGAGUAGUUGCGCGUCGCGAAGUGCCGCGAGUAGCGGUUGAGGCAACACCAGGAGUGGAAGAGCCGGCGCGACGAGCCGCAGCCGAGGAGGAGGCUGCCGUGGAGGCGGCGGCUGGACGGCGCGCCGUUCAUGUGCGACCCCAAGUAGGAGUGCGACAGCCGGAGGCGGCACAAGCGCGAGUAGGACAGGGAGUAGCUCCAGUGGAAGCUCUUCCGCUAGGCCCCCUCCUGCGAGGCCACCCACGACGCCCACGUCUACACGUGGUUGAAGCACCGCCGGUGCCACCGCCACACGCCCGACGACCGCAGCCCCCUCACCGCCUACUAGGGCCCCCUCUACCGCCGCAAGCUCCUGCCCGCCCGCUCCAUGCACCGCUGCGACCACCCCUGCCGCCACAGCACCGUCCGGUACAGCCACCGCUGCGACGCCGACUAGUGCUCCCACAGCAGCGACAAGCGGUUGCACUGCCCGUGGCACAGCGACGGCGACCACGGCCACAAGCGCCACCACGAUAAGCCCCUGUCUUACUGCCCCUAGUUCCGGCAGCGGUACGAGUACCGGCAGACCCCCAAGGAGAGGAUGCAGAUGGUCGUGAUGGAGCUGCCGGCCGCGCGGCGCCGGUACCCCCCAGUUCCACCUCGCCGUCUCACGACGCAGACGUUCCGCGCCUGCCCGCCGCUCCGGCGAAACGGGCGGACUCUGCAAGCAACCGGUUUGUUUCGACUUUAAUGUCAUCACCACAGGAUUAUCGUGAGAGAAAAAGAAAGUAAAAAGAAAACUUUAUGAUAGUCUAUAUGCCUGAGGAUGUAGGACAAACCAACCUCUGAAUCUUAAGCCCGGUACGAAUCUGUGCUUUCUUCAUAGGCUUUUUGUGUCAUAAUAUUGUACGUCCGUGCUUUACGGUGUCGUUUGUAGAUUCCCAUUUUAUAAUGAGAAAGGUUGUCUAGGUUCCCAUUUUACUGUACUCUGGCACAGUUACCAAAAAUGCCGCUGAAACGAGUAAACGAACGUUGAUAUAGUCUCCGUUUUCUGUUCCACUUUGUGUGUCGGUCAUCCUUCCGCUAUACCUGUACUCGUUCUAGCUUUAGGUCAACAAAUGUAUUAUUUGUGUACGAAACUAACAGUAUGUUCUUGCUGGUGUAUUAUCAUUCGUUUUGAGUCACGAACCGCUGUCGGUCGGUCGUGACCAAACUGCUUGUUUAAGUAACCAUGUCAGCGAGAUCAAUCAGAAGGGGAAAGGUCUCUAGUCGUUUGAGUAGCCCGAGGUCCCACAAGAGGUAGAGCACGUAGAAGGAGGAGUGGAACCGGAAGUGGAAGAACCGCAUGAACGGACGGAAGAAGGCGAAGAGGUCACGCGCCUAGACCACGAGGUUUAGUUGUUUUGGGAGCAAUCUUUUACACCUAGUGAUGUACCGCCCUUUGCGAAAUAACGUUGUCUUAAUUUAUGUCCUACGGUAGUUUUAGGACCACUCUUCAUUUAGGAAAAGGGGUCUUGGUGUUUCUAUGAUAUGAUGAGGG